Molecule: non-coding RNA, 123 nt
Filed under: Pseudo-nitzschia fraudulenta
Lineage: Eukaryota; Bacillariophyta; Bacillariophyceae; Bacillariales; Bacillariaceae
Source: RNAcentral
GGAAAGUCCCCGGACUCGAAACCACGACCGCUCCGAAAGCGGAGCUUGUCGGUUGAGAUCAGCGACGCUUCGAGUCUACCGCCGAGCAUGAAUAUCAUUGCAUCCAUAUGCGAAGACGGGCUG